Molecule: small nuclear RNA, 119 nt
Organism: Mya arenaria
Lineage: Eukaryota; Metazoa; Mollusca; Bivalvia; Myida; Myidae
Source: RefSeq, a predicted model, not a curated record
GUGUCAUAAGAAAGGAGAGAAGGUUAGCACUCCCCUUGAUAAGGACGGAAGAGACCUUCAUGGUCUUUAUGAUACAUAUAGGCAAGUUCUCCUACUUCGAGGACACCUCAUAUUUUUUU